Acanthopagrus latus (yellowfin seabream) is the source of this 2504-nucleotide long non-coding RNA. RefSeq lists it as uncharacterized. The record is from RefSeq and is a predicted model, not a curated record. The transcript has 3 exons. NCBI's taxonomy places the organism in Eukaryota, Metazoa, Chordata, Actinopteri, Spariformes, Sparidae.
CAAGACCAGAUGAUUCUGAUUUCAUGAUCAAUAUACCUGCCUACAACUGCUGUGUCUGCCAGCAUUUGAGUCAUGUGCAAACAUGUAAACUACACACCUUGCAUGCAUGGACAAUUUGUGUGCAUAGACACUGCUUCAAGUUCAAUUGUCCUGUUAGAGUCUGUUGGAAUAGACGGUAAUGUUAAGUCAUGUCACAAAAAAGUUUGUAUCCCUCUGGUGCCCGAAAAGAGAAAGAAGAAAAGGACCUGAGGAGGAAAAAGAGCUAGACAAAGGCCAAAGUAAAGGACUCACUGUGGAUGAAGACAUUUUCUGUAGGACCAAGUAGCACUUUGAACAGGUUUCGAAGAUGUCCCGUAAAAGACCUUUGCCAGGACAAAACCUUUUAUUUUAUUUAAAGAACCAGCAAUGUGAGAAAAGACAGAGAGCAGGAGGCAGGACAGACUGACACACAUGCAGAGGAGCAACAGACAGGACAAAUAGAAUCACCAACAGGGCAGAUGGAAGAAGACACAAAGGGCCAGACAGAAGAGACACUCCCCCCACUCAACAGGUACUACUUGUGUGCAGUCUGCCAUAUUGAAAACUCAUGUUGCCACCAGGGUGUGACAGAUACAGUGUGCCACAUAUAAAGCAAAGUCCACCAAGAAAAGCAACGGGCUCUCUAGUACACAGCCACAAUAUCCCAAUAUGCAAUGCUCGUUCCCUCUGUUGGGGGGGAUGUCUGCACAAGAGGUUAAGGUAUGAUAUGUGUAAUGGUCCUGUCAAGGUUCAUUCAAGAGUUAUAGUGUUACAGUAAAGUCAUGGUUGAUAGUUUUGACUAAUUUGUGGUUUGUAUUUCAGUGUAGUACAGUCUAGUUUUCUUAAUUUGAGAUCUUAGUCGCUGAAUGUGUUUUUUUACCUGUGCCCUGUUAUCACAGGUGAGUCAAUAUCACUAUAAAGUGCCUUUGGUGUCCUCAUCAGAAUCACUCAGUCAUCAUGAAAAUGUAGCAGAAAUUAUUAUAAAUGGCCAAAUAUUUACACACAUAUCAGUACAAUGAUAAGUCUCUUGAAAUGUGUUUCCUUCAUUUAAAAUUUUUUUUUUUUUCAUUGGACAUAUGUGAUUUUGGCAUGUCCCACGCACUUCUCUGCUAACUACAGUGUCUGGAAUAAGUUUCUCAUAAAGAUGUAACGCGUAAUGUAACACAUAAAUGAGAGCUGGCGUAUUGGUCUUUAUGAGAAAAUACCAUGUUGGGUGGCGAAACUUCUGUGAUGAAAACAGACUUCAGUUUUAUUAAUAUGGCAAGUGAUGUAGCCAGGAACCGUUACAAGCACCUGAAUGCCAGGAACAGUUGCCAGCACGUGAAAGUGAAGAGAAGAUACCAGCGCUUUCAUUCAUUGAUACAUCGGUUUCAACCUUAGCCAGCGUGACAGGUCAGUUAAUCAGUUUUUGUUUUGUGUUGGCUUACUUUACUGUAAAAUAUCCUGUGUUAUGUCAUAAUUUUGUUUUGUUUUGUUUUUUAAUCUAAAUGUACCUACAGGUCUACAUCUGCACCCACUUCUAUAGAUUUCCCAUCCACUCCCUCAACAAGCUCCAGCUAUCAAGAUAGAUCAACAGCUCCUCCAACUGACCCAUCUGAAUGGUCAGCGGUCCUGUCCAACUCAGAAAGGACUGAUCUGGUAAGAAGAGGGCCAGAGCCAAUUCACCUUCCCCAAAAAAUCAGAUGGACGAAGAUUUCACCACCACUCUACACACAGACAGUUAGUUAAUGGAGAAAAAAAUCAGGUGAAGCUGGCUAAUUCAUUUAAAGAAAAAUGAUGCGGUUUACUGCUUCUGUUGCAAAUUAUUCUCGAGAAAGUCCACGAAACUGUCAACAGAGGGACAGCGUGAUUGGGCAAAUGAAGAUGCUUUGCUGAAACAGCAUGAGAAUAGUCCAGAUCAUUGCAAUAAUAUUGUGAAGUGGAAAGACUUUGCCCUCCGUCUUUCUAAGGAGAAGACUACUGACGUAACAAAAAUGGCCCUUUUGGAGGCAGAAAUCGUUGGAGAGAUGUUCUCAUCCGUUUGAUUAGUAUCAUUCAGUCUCUGGCAGAGAGGAAUCUUGCACUCUUGGGGUCUGUCAAUACUUUGCAUCAGGAACAACAGUGGGAACUUCCUUAAAGAGAAUUUGCCCUGAUGUUAAAAGACCACAUCAGGCGAAUAGAUAGUGGAAUGCAACUCAACAUGUACCUGGGUAAGACUAUGAGCUGAUAAGAGUGUAUCAGUGACAAAAUAAUGGAGGCAAUGGUGUCAGAAAUCAAGGAGUGCAAACAUUAUUCAAUAAUAUUAGACUGUACACCUGAUCCAAGUCCCCGUGAACAGACGUCUGUUGUGGGGCGCAAAGUCACUUUGGGCAAAACACUGGAAAUAAAAGAGCUCUUUGCUUUAUUUCUUAUACCUGCUGAAUCUACUGGUCUGGGUUUUUGCAAUCUAAUCCUUAACAGGCUUGAAGAAUUGAACAUCCCUUUUCCGGACUGUCGGGGGCAAUCCU